AAAAUCCCUAAAUCAGAAAAGCUUCAAUCUCUCCAUCAUCUUCUUCCUCCUCAUCAUAGAAAAAAAUAAACAUAUUCAUCCUCUACUCCUCUCUUUUCUCUUCUUUCUUAACCACUGAUGUUUUUAGUUCUUUUGAAAUCAAAAGUACAAACUCCUUUGCAAUUAAAUGUAUCCACUUGAGCACCAGGAUCCCAACACCACCCCUUCUCCUUCUUUGUCCACUAUCUCUUCUUUACCAUUUUUUUUUUAUGAUUCUUAACAUAUUUUUGCAAAAUCUAAUUGAUGAGGAAGAAAGUUAGAAACUCUUCAUCUCUACAAGAUUAGAUCAGUAAUCCCACAAUAACCCAUCUUGUUCAAUCAUAAAAAUCAGCAAACUUUAUUCAACAUCCAAGUUAAAGUUUCUAUCCUUGGAGGAAUCCACACAAACCCAUUUCCGAUUUUGUAAAAAGUUUGUUUUCUAUUUGUUACUUGUUCAUCUCACUUGCUAAAUUAAAGACCCUUUUGAAAUGUUCAAGUUUAGGUAUGAAUUUGAUUGAUUGUUGAUGUUACUGGUUCCGAAGGAUACUUCUCACCCACAUUUCGCCUUUGCCUUGUUGCGAACAAACCGCCUCCUUCCUUCACCUCUCUCUCUCUUUGCAGUUUCUGCUACCUCAAAUCAAAGCUUUCAUCUCCAAACACAAGAUGAGGAGGAAGAAGAUGAUGGAGAGAUUGAAGCUUUUCUGAUUUGGGGAUUUUGGUGAAGGACUAAAUUGAAGUUUUUAAUUUUUCUGGACUGGGCGAGACCCUAGGGUCCUUCACCCAGAAGCGCUGGCCUAUGCUCUGACCUCAACUCAAUCUCACACAAAUCAGAAGCAUUGUGUAUAAAGAGCGACCCAAGCAACGCUUUCGCAUUCACCAUGUUCAGUAUGAACAGUGGAAAAGCUUCAGAAGUUCUGCAGUUAUACAAACUCUGAUGUGGACUCAGUCACUAGAAG
This is a long non-coding RNA of Lotus japonicus, 974 nucleotides long. RefSeq lists it as uncharacterized. The record is from RefSeq and is a predicted model, not a curated record. The transcript is spliced from 3 exons. NCBI's taxonomy places the organism in Eukaryota, Viridiplantae, Streptophyta, Magnoliopsida, Fabales, Fabaceae.